Long non-coding RNA from Salvelinus fontinalis (brook trout), 2503 nucleotides. RefSeq lists it as uncharacterized. The record is from RefSeq and is a predicted model, not a curated record. Lineage: Eukaryota; Metazoa; Chordata; Actinopteri; Salmoniformes; Salmonidae. The transcript is spliced from 2 exons.
UCUAUUUUUCUUUUAUCAGACCAGAGGACAUUUCUCCAAAAAGUACAAUCUUUUUUCCCAUGUGCAGUUGCAAACCGUAGUCUGGCUUCUAUACGGUGGUUUUGGAGCAGUGGCUUCUUCCUUGCUGAGCGGCCUUUCAGGUUACGUUGAUAUAGGACUCGUUUUACUGUGGAUAAAAAUACUUUUGUACCUGUUUCCUCCAGCAUCUUCACAAGGUCUGUUGCUGUUGUUCUGGUUUUCACUUUUCGCAGCAAAGUACGUUCAUCUCUAGGAGACAGAACAUGUCUCCUUCCUGAGCGGUAUGACGGCUGUGUGGUCCCAUGGUGUUUAUACUUGCGUACUAUUGUUUGUACAGUUGAACGUGGUAACUUCAGGCAUUUGGAAAUUGCUCCCAAGGAUGAACCAGACUUGUGGAGGUCUACAAUUUUUUUUCUGAGGUCUUGGCUGAUUUCUUUUGAUUUUCCCAUGAUGUCAAGCAAAGAGGCACUGAGUUUGAAGGUAGGCCUUGAAAUACAUCCACAGGUACACCUCCAAUUGACUCAAAUGAUGUCAAUUAGCCUAUCGGAAGCUUCUAAAGCCAUGACAUAAUUUUCUGUAAUUUUCCAAGCUCUUUAAAGGCACAGUCAACUUAAUGUAUGUAAACUUCUGACCCACUGGAAUUGUGAUACAGUGAAUUUAUAAGUGAAAUAAUCUGUCUGUAACCAAUUGUUGGAAAAAUGACUUGUGUCAUGCACAAAGUAGAUGUCCUAACCGACUUACAGUUUUUUCCAACUGCUUACACACAAAAUCUUUUCAUGUCACACGAUUUUUGAAACCUCUCAUUCAAAGUGCAAAACAACACACCAAAUAUCCAAAACCAUAAGCUAUUUCUCAGCCUUUGACUCAGUUGUCAACUGCAUAAAACACUUUUUUCAAAACACUACACACAAUUCUCUACCUAAAACACAAAAAUCUAACAGGAAGUGACUUGCUUUCCUUUUCCAAACACAACCAAUCAAAAUGCUACACUUAUUCACCAGGUCACACACACACUCCUCACAUGUGCAAACACUAAUAGCUUAACUGAUCACUAACCAAUCACUGCUUUACUGUAGUAUGGGCCUAUAAAUAGGUCAAAGGUCAGAUUACCUGUUUUGAACAAUGGAUGCCAACAAUGGACAGAGAGCAAGAGGAGUAGGAGGGAGAGGAAGAGGAAGAAGAGGACGAGGGCAAAGGCAAAAAAGCGUAGGAAGGAGAGCCAUCUCUGAUGAGAUUAGGGCAACACUUGUUGAUCAUGUGAUCAACCACGGUUUGACCAUGAGAGAGGACUAAGAGUCCAGCCCAACUUGAGUCGAUUUACAGUGGUGUCCAUAAUUCAAACCUUCAGAAAUGAGAACAGAGUGGAAAGGCAAAGACAUCAUGGAGGACGAGGACGCUUGUUUACAGAUGUACAAGAGACUGCAAUUAUAAAUAUGGUUUUGGCCAACAAUGCAAUUAGGAUUCGAGAGAUAAGAGAGCAUAUCUUGAAUAAUGACACCAUAUUUAACAACAUCAAUGCUGUAUGUCUGUCGACCAUACAACGCAUCCUCCAACGGCACCGAGUGAGUCAAGAAUAUGCGACAUGACUUUGUAGAGGUAUGUAUGCAACACUAAUUCCAGUACUUCAGACAUGCCAUAUUUACUCAUCUGUAUAUCCUUUUGUCUGUUACAGAGAGUAUUGGAGCUGGAUGCCCAUGUAAUUCACCAUGAAUUUAUUUAUGUGGAUGAGGUUGGCUUCAAAAACCAGGCGCCGCGGAAGAAAUGUAAUAGGACAGAGGGCAAUUACCAAUGUCCCUGGACAGCGUGGGGGUAAUAUAACAAUGUGUGCUGCCAUCACUCAAAACGGGGUCCUCCAUCACAAUGCCACACUGGGUCCGUACAACACCGGCCAUAUGCUCACUUUUCUGGAUGCAAUUUACACAAUGCUUGUCCCUGAUCCAGAUCAGGAGCCUGCUAGAUUUGUGGUUUUAUGGGACAAUGUUAGUUUUCACCGGGCUGUUCUGGUCCAAAACUGGUUUGCCACCCAUCCACAAUUUGUAGUUUUGUACCUACCCCCAUAUUCACCUUUUCUAAAUCCCAUAGAGGAAUUCUUAGCCUGGCGCUGGAAAGUGUAUGAUCGCCAACCCUAUGCCCGCAUGCCGCUUCUCCAGGCAAUGGAGGACGCAUGUGGGGACAUAGAGGUUGCCUCUGUCCAAGGUUGGAUACGCCAUGCUAGGAGAUACUUUCCUCGAUGUUUGGCAAAAGAAAACGUAUCUUGUGAUGUGGACGAAGUAUUGUGGCCAGACCCAGACCGGAGAAGAGAUUAAGCGUAGCUUAGCACUGGUGACUGCCCUCCCCCUAUCAAUUCCUAGACUUCCCCCCCUGGGACCCCACACACACAAUUGUGUUCUUUACUGUAUUCUAAAGAAAAUACUUUUGGUUUAUGGUUUUGUUGUAUACAACAGUAAUGUUUGGCCUAAUAAAUAUUUUCUGUUUCUACAUUGCA